CCUGAAGACUAUGGGUAAUCUCUGCUUCCUUCAAAACAGGGAGAGGCCUGGAGCUGAAAGGGGAGGAUGGGGUGGAGCUGAAAGGGGGAGUAUGGGCAAUCGCUGCUUCAUUGAGAACAGAGAGAUGCCUGGAGCUGAAUAGCUGCUCCAUUGAAAGCAGGGAGAUCCCUAGAGCUGAAAGGGGAGGAUGGGCUGGAGCUGAAAGGAUUAGAAAAUGAAAGGGGAUUUCUAUGUUAGAGAGAUGGGGUUUCUAUGUUAGAGAGAGAAAUUGAAAGGGGAAUUUAUCAAUGAGAGAAAUUGAAAGGGGAAUUUAUCAAUGAGAGAAAUUGAAAGGGGGUUUUCUGUUAGAGAGAGAAAAAGAAAUAGAAAUUGAAAGAGGUUUUCUCUGAUAGAGAAAUUGAAAGGGGGUUGUCUGUUAGAGAGAGACAAUGAAAUGGGAUUCUUGGCGUUUUUCUCUAUAAUUGCAGGAGCAUGAAAUUAGGUUUGUUGAUUUUAAGAUAUAUAUAUAUUUUUUUUAGGUUUUGUUUGCAUUUAGGGAUGCCCUAAAUAUUGAAGGUUUAAUCUGAUUAUAUAUAUUUUUUAAUGUAUAUUUCUGUAAUUUGCAGGAGUAAAAAAGUUUAAUGUAUGCAUAUAUUAUUCAUCACAAAAAUCUGGUUUUUGGAUCGAUAUGGUUUUAUUUACUCUGCUUCUAUAUUAUUUCUAUACACAAUAAUUUCCUCUAUAAGUUUACAAGCAAACAAUAGUUCAUUUGCAAAAUAACUACUGAGCAUUGACAUGUCUAAACUAAAAAGGAAAAAAAAACCAUACCUUCAAUCUAUAAAUGAGGUUUUGAAGAAGAAUAAUGUGAUUUUAGCAUAAACCCUAAGACAACAACCCCUAACAAUACAUAAAUCAAUUGGGGAUAAAAAUUUCUAUUUUAGGUUUUUUUUUUUGAAAAUAAUAUGAUUUUUUUAAAAUUACACAUAUCAGGAAAAAAAUUGUUUCUCUUUAAAAAAAACACAAGUAAAAAUAUGCUUUUUUAGGCCCG
This 1027-nucleotide long non-coding RNA is filed under the name Amborella trichopoda. Its description in RNAcentral is "long non-coding RNA (ATRI_LNC005287)". Lineage: Eukaryota; Viridiplantae; Streptophyta; Magnoliopsida; Amborellales; Amborellaceae. The record is from RNAcentral.